RNAcentral lists this ribosomal RNA (424 nucleotides) under Verrucomicrobiota bacterium. RNAcentral describes it as "Verrucomicrobia bacterium partial 16S ribosomal RNA". It matches the Rfam family "Bacterial small subunit ribosomal RNA", at positions 355 to 776 of the family's 1533-position model. The record is from RNAcentral. Lineage: Bacteria; Pseudomonadati; Verrucomicrobiota.
UGAGGAAUAUUGGUCAAUGGACGAGAGUCUGAACCAGCCAAGUAGCGUGCAGGAUGACGGCCCUAUGGGUUGUAAACUGCUUUUGUUUGGGAAUAAUCGACAUUACGUGUAAUGUUUUGCAUGUACCAUAUGAAUAAGGACCGGCUAAUUCCGUGCCAGCAGCCGCGGUAAUACGGAAGGUUCGGGCGUUAUCCGGAUUUAUUGGGUUUAAAGGGAGCGUAGGCCGUUUGGUAAGCGUGUUGUGAAAUGUAGGAGCUCAACUUCUAGAUUGCAGCGCGAACUGUCAGACUUGAGUGCGCACAACGUAGGCGGAAUUCAUGGUGUAGCGGUGAAAUGCUUAGAUAUCAUGAAGAACUCCGAUUGCGAAGGCAGCUUACGGGAGCGCAACUGACGCUGAAGCUCGAAGGUGCGGGUAUCGAACAGG